UGCCAUAGAACGGGGGGUUUUGGGCUGCAAACAUUUUCCCCCAAGAAACCAAACUUCAGCCUUUCAUUAAUUCUUUCCCCCCCCCCCCCCCCCCCCCUUCCCUGCCAGAUCUUGCUCGUUUUCGGUCGGAUCUAGCUCAUUUUCCAGGCAAGAGAAAACUCACAAUCGUCGUCUAUAUCGUCGUCCUUCUUGAGGGCAGGCGGGAGUGACGCCAUGGCAAUGGCGAAGGGUGUGGAUCGAUCUCCUGCACAGCGAAAAACCACCUAGACUGCGAGACCGAGCGAAAACGAGCGAGCGAGGGUAGGACAAACAUGGCGAAGAAGUGGCCAAUCCAGACGAUGGAUGUUUG
This 349-nucleotide long non-coding RNA is filed under the name Physcomitrium patens. Its description in RNAcentral is "long non-coding RNA (PPAT_LNC009708)". The record is from RNAcentral. Lineage: Eukaryota; Viridiplantae; Streptophyta; Bryopsida; Funariales; Funariaceae.